Molecule: non-coding RNA, 1941 nt
Organism: Paramuricea clavata
Lineage: Eukaryota; Metazoa; Cnidaria; Anthozoa; Malacalcyonacea; Plexauridae
Source: the annotation of a GenBank genome assembly
GUGAAGGUAAUCUAGGUAGUCAAGGUAAUCUAGGUAGUGGAGGUAAUCUAGGUAGUAGAGGUAAUCUAGGUAGUCAAGGUAAUCUAGGUAGUCAAGGUAUCUAAGUAGUGGAGGUUAUCUAGGUAAUCUAGUUAGUCCAAGUAAUCUUGAAAGUCAAGGUAAUAUAGGUAAUCUAGGAAGUGAAAGGUAAUCAAGAUAGUCAAAGUAAUAUAGGUAGUUAAUGUCAAAAAAGGUAGCCAUCGCUCUGAGCUUUACUAAAAAAGGUUGCUGUUCCGCUACCGUCAGUAAAAGAAAGCCGAUGCAAGCGCAAGGCUCUCCAGUUGAUGAAUAAAACUGCAGUAUGAGAUUUUGUCAAAGUAGAAUAAAAAAGGUGCAUUCGAAUGCGUUGUUCCUUAGUGGAUUAUUUGGGAAGAACUAAAUUAAACCUUGUAUAAAAUACCUAGAAUAAACUAGUGAGUAUAUAGUAUAUGCCAAACUUUCCCUGGACCUAAUGUUGCUACAUCGCUUACUCGUUAAUUAUCUUUUUUAUUAAAAUGUACGUAGAUAUUGAAAUAUGAUAAAAUUUUAUGGCAAGUUCACGGCAAAAGUUAUAAAAGUAGAUAUUCAAUUGUUUUUCAUAUUCAAGCUGCGCGCAUUGAAUUUUGAGUAUUUGUGCAUUGCAUUUUGGGUCUAUUCGUUGAUUAAAGUUGAGAAUUUUGCUAGCUAUGUACAUAAAUUUUAUUUACUGCCUUGCUCGCUCACCUGUGGUGGCAAUAAUCGUUACAUGUCAAUUUUUUCUUCACUAUAAUACCACUAUAAUAAAUAACUGGACCUCCCCUUCUGAAGCAAUAUUUUCAGGUGCCCCUUUUUCGGUCAAAAAUACCUCAUGACCCACCCCCUUUCUUUGCCAGCCCACUCCCAGUCACAAAUAAUGAAUGGUCCCAUAGUUGACAAUGUACGUAUUUUUUUUAACUGAAAAAUUAAAAACAUUUAUAUAUUCGUAGCUAGUUUUUCGGUCCAGUGAUGUUUGUAUCAUAUGAUAUGCAGAAUUGCAUGCUGUAUAGACUAGCAAUUGCUUUGGCACUCAAAAUAAUAAUAAUAAUAAUUACAAUAUUUAGUCAGGGGGUCCACUCACGAAAGUGAUUUUCAGUGGAGCCCGGAUAAAAAAUAAAAAGAACAAAAAUAUAAAACUAACAAAAGUGAAUAUAUGAAAAGUUAUAUAGCAUAAAGUUCGCAUCCUUAUCGGUUCGGUACAGAGUCCUAUGGCUAUGACCUAUGUAGCUAGAUGUUUCAUGAAAUAAAAGAAGGAAAAAAUCCACAAAAAGUAAAAAAAAAUAAUAACAAUAAUUUAUCAUUACUUAAUAGGAGGAUCCCAAUGGUCACAUGUGUGGGGGUGUACUCCCCCCGAAAAUGUUUGAAAUUUGAAACACGGAAAUGCCAUUUCCUGCAUUCUGAGCAUCCAAAUUUGCUCUAAAAUUUAUGCUAACUAUACUUGUAUUUGAAAUAAAAGAAGGAAAAAAUGCACAAAAAGUAAAAAAGAAUAUUAACCGUAAUUUAUCAUUAUACUUAUAAGAGGGGGAUACCAAUGGCCACGUGUGUGGAGGCAUAAUCUCCAGAAAAUUUUUCAAAUUUGAAACCUGGAAAUGCUCUUUCCUGCAUUCUGAGCAACCAAAAAAUAAAACAUUAUUAACAAUAAUUUAUCAUUACUUAGUGGUAGAAAAACGUAACAAUUUAGAUCGAUUUUGUUAAACAAGGACAAAGGAUAAAGCCUAAAACUUACUUUCCGUUUAUUUAUUUGUUAUUCUUCGCUGUUUUGUUGGUAUAAAUUUAGGAAAAAGGGACUUUUCCUGGGGGGGGGGAAUGUGAUUUCGUGGGGAGCACAAGGGGGGACUGGGGGGGGGGAAAUGCCCCCCCCCCAGCUUGUAUGUUAAAAAAGGCCCUGACACUAGGCCUAAGGUUUGG